GAAAAUGCUGACACGGGACGAGCCACAUGGGCGAUCCUCGUGCGCGCGAUCGGACGGCCCAGAUCCGUUCCCGCGCGCACAGACAGCCCAGAUUGCAUCGCGAUGGACGGCCCAGAUUUAAUCCCAAUUAAAUCGCGAUCGGACAGUCCAGAUUUAAUCUUGAUGGACGGUUGAGAUUAAAAGGCAAAGGGUAUAAAUAACCCCACCCACACCUGACCACAAAACCCUAGCCGCUAGUGCCUCGCCGGAGAAGAAGAACCAGACGCCGGAGGAGCCGGCCGC
RNAcentral lists this long non-coding RNA (282 nucleotides) under Carica papaya (papaya). RNAcentral describes it as "long non-coding RNA (CPAP_LNC002618)". Lineage: Eukaryota; Viridiplantae; Streptophyta; Magnoliopsida; Brassicales; Caricaceae. The record is from RNAcentral.